Long non-coding RNA from Callorhinus ursinus (northern fur seal), 4370 nucleotides. RefSeq lists it as uncharacterized. The record is from RefSeq and is a predicted model, not a curated record. Lineage: Eukaryota; Metazoa; Chordata; Mammalia; Carnivora; Otariidae.
CCCACCCCCCACCAGCACUUCUGUGCGCUCCAGCUGACCCCCAGCUGCCGGGCUCCGCAUCCCUUUGACUGGGGGCUUUUUUCCAUAACCGAGGAAAGCCAGAGAGAGGAAUGAAAACCACCCAAAAGCAGAAGCAACCCCAACCAGCAGGUGGCGGGAGUUGGUGUACAAGUACCCCAGUCCCUCGCCCCUCGGUGGGAUAACCCCUAGCAUGGGUUCUGUGAGCUGUUUCACACAGAGUGAAUUAAGACAAAAAUACAUGGUGUGUGAAGACUUCAGGAUAUCCCAUAUUAUAACUGGGAUUGAUGAAGUCCUCAUCAAGAAAGCAACAGAGAGCGAAUCGAAAGAGGAAAGAUGAUGUUGAACAUGCCAAGUAGAACAAUAAACGAGAUCUAUUACUGCGAAGGUGUUCAGAAUUAGUGUAUCUCACCGUCAGAGAGACACAACCAACAACAGAUGCGAAGCCAAUGAGGACGUCAGAAUGACACUUGAAAGACCGGAACGAGUGUGGCACCAAGCUGGGAAAACACAACAAGGUAUGAAAUCAUGAGAAUGAUUCGAUUUAAAUAAACCAAAACUGCAAAUGCAUCUUCAUCUUCUCAAAUCCUUUUUUGGUGGGAAGUCAUGCCAACUCCAUCAGCAUUUGCCUGAGUAUGGACUGCAGAACUGGCCCUAGGUGAUGCUAAUCGUUAUUGCAGGUAAAAUUAUUCCAGGGUUUAAUAAUUUAUAAGCAAAAUAAGUCUUAAAGAGAUUUCUUUAUUAUAGGGUUUCUCAAGUUUUUGAAUUGUGCCAACAUGCUUUAUGAAUCUUCAAAGUUAGAAGGCAGAUGGUAUGGAUUUACUAACUUAUGUAAAGUUUUUUUUUCUUUUUUUUAUGGGACAGCUAAGAGACUGGUGUGGUCUGAGGAACACACUUUGGGAAAUGCUGAAUCAGACAGGCUUUUAAUGGAGGCUACUUCUGUUAGAGAAAUUUCACAGUUGAACCUGAAUUGAAAGACAAUCCUGUAAAACUUUCUGGACUGGUGGUUCUCAGUCCUGGCUGCCCAUUAAAAUCACCUGGGAGCUUUAGACAAGCCAUCACCAAGGCCCUACCCCCAGCCCGCUGAGUGAGGGUUUCCCAUCUAUCAAACGGAAAUAAUACCUACCUCACAGAAUUGUUGUGAAACCUAAAGGAGAUCAUGUAUGUAAAAUGCCCACUCUGGGGCCUGAAACAAAGUUCAGUCUUUGGAACAAUGUUUCUUUCUGGGGAUAGUGUAGAUCCAAUGAAAAAUGGAGAUGAUAUUAUGUAAAUAGAAAAUCACUCUUUGGCCACACCCUGGUUCUGCAUCGACAGAUGCUAAUAAUGGAUGAUGAGAAACAGGAUGUUUGCAUCGCCUGAAUAUUUCCCCACAAUACACCUAGUAAUUACAAAGGGAAAAACAGUAACUUUACCUUGGAAAACUCUGGCAGUCCCCAUCCUAACUAAAUGAUGAAAGGUAACCUAACCAGUAAUGAGACACGUCCACACCACAUGCCCCCUGGUACAAGGGGACACCGAGAUGACCACAUCAUGGCUUCUGUAGUAUUCUUGCCAAAAAUACAUUAUCCGGAGGAAUUACACAAGGAAACAUCAGGCAAACCCCAGUCAAAGACAUUUUAUAAGAUUACUGGCCAGCACUUUUCUAAAGUGUCAAGGUCAUAAAAGAAAAGGAAAGACUGAAGAACUGUCCCUGAUGGGAGGAGACUAAGAAACUAAAUGUGAUGUGGGAGCCUGGACUGACUCAGGGACCAGAAAGGGGGUAUUAGUGGGACAACUGACAAAAAUUCGGUAAGCUCUGUAAAUGAUGCAUUUUUUCAAGGUUGUUUCCCUGGUUUCGAUAAUUGUGCGAUGGUUCUUGGGAAUGAUGGAUGAAGGGUAAAUGGAACUCUGUACUAUUUUGCAAUUUUUUUGUAAGUCUGAAAAGUUUUCAAAAUGAAAAGUUAAAAUAUUAGAAAAAUUUAAUGAUUAUUUCUUUCUUAUUCAGGGGCUUUUGAGAUAAUGGAAUCAAUAUUUGAGGAGGUUUUUCUCCCUUUUGGGUAUUUGGAGUUUAGGGGAAAUAGGGCCCCUAUACAAUGUAGUCUACAUUGAGCGUUGUAAAUAGCAGCCCAAGAUGGUCCUUUUAACAAGCAUUUCCUGUGGUUUGGAUACAUGUGGUCUAAAUACCUGAUAGAGGAUUUGAUAGAAGACAUAAAGCCAAAAGUGCUCCAGGAAAGAGGAGGGUCAAAGCCGAGGUGGCGGUGGCGGUGGCGGUGAAGUGAAAUUAAGAGCUGCUAGAUAGGGGUGUCAGAGAAAGUCUUUGGUGUUUGAGUAAGGACAGGGGGAGGGCAGAGAGUGCUGGGGGUAGGGAAUAGCUAUGAAUGAUACUUCAAAGGGCAGAGAAGGGACGGAAGAGUUUAAAGAUAUUUUCCUGGCAUUAAAUGUAUGUUCUCCUUGGCAUUUGCCUAUAAGCCUUUAGAGGUGAUUUUGAUUUUUUCUAAUUUUUGUUCUGUCUUUUUUUGUUUUGUUUUUUCCUUGAGUAUUAUUCUAUGCUGAGACUCAUCUUCCAGGGGUCUGGUUUAUACUUUUCUGCCACAUUGUGACACAGUCCGGAUCAUGUACCUUGUUUGGAAGACAGAUGACAACGCCAUUUACCUGGUAGCCCUUUGGCCUUAGGAAGAAAAGUGGCUUGGGCUGCGAACACCCCGCAGCAGGUGCACAGAACACAGCUCUCUGCUGUGGGGCAGGCACGGGGAACUGCGUCCACAGAAAUCCAGAAGAACGGCCGCAGCGGUGUGGCCGAGGAGCUCCUCGGGGUUUCUCAUGGAUUGCCUUCAACUGCAAUGCCCGUUCAUUUCUUCCUGAUCAUUUUCAGGACUGGAAGCCAGAAGUGAAUCUGAAGAGGCAAAAAAGACAGAUGAAUGAGCAUUAGAGCCAUUUCGAGUGCCUCUGACAUAAACUUUUCAUCGUGCGACGGCUGGCGUCAGGAAAAAUGCAAAAGAACACUUCAGAAUGGCAGAAAUUGAUCCUUGGGGGUUAUCUCAGACUUCCAUUGUUUAUGAGCUAUUUUCCAACUCUGCAAGUUGUUGGGAGCUGGGAGCAGCAAUGCAAAUGAUUUUUGUCCAUGGAUGUGAAAAUGACUUUCACCCUGUGGAGUGCAAUUAAUCCUCCCACCCACCUUGGGGAAGAAGCCAGUUUUGCAUCUAGUAUCGGACGCGCUCUGCCUGCACGCUGGGGUAGAAGGAUGCCGACACCAGGAUUUUGAGUUGCGUCAGGAUGGAGGACAGCAAGCCCAGCACCACUAGGACCACAAGAAUGAUGCUGAGAGGAAUCCAGGUCUUAGACAGAAGGAGCUUUGGUUCAGGGAUGCAGAGUCGGGAUGCCCAUGAGACUGCUGAAGUCUCGAGAAGACAAAGAAAUCCAGUUAACGUCAGCUAGUGGCUCUCCUGACAAAUGUGACCACAUCACCCAGUUUUACGGAACACCUGCUUCCACCCUAUAGGACAUGUGGGACUGAUGAAAGAUGGUUUUAGCUCAACUGGAGGAGAAGAUUUUUGGAACAUAGACCCAGUCAGAUCCUCCCCAUCUUGACAAAUACCCUGACAGCGGACCACAAUGUCACAAAGAUGUGGAAGCAUUAUAUUAUGUUCUAAAGCAACCUUCUAGACAUUGGGGGUGGGGAAUUACUCUUAGUGUAAGAAUACUAAAAAUAGUAUUUGCUGAAGGUGGCUUUAAAUCCUAUUUGUAGAGGUCUCAAACAGGACAUUUUCUCAAUUUUCCUGGAUGCUCAGGUGGAAUGUGUUCCUUUCUGCUUGAAGACAAGAGUACAGACCAGUUGCCCUCAGCUGACUGACACAGAGGGCAAAGGAUGACAUUGAACUACCCAGCCAACCCACCAGCAAGAGAAGUGUGUGCUGAUUCAGUGCUUUGUUUCCCCCGACCUGAGAAAGUCAUUUCAUCUCUCGGUGGAUUUGUUUUCUGAUUUGGUAAAACAGGAAUUAAUGGACCAGAUCCCGCCCAUGAAUAAACUACUCCCCAUGUAAAUUAAGCACCUUGGGGAUGGAGCAUUAACCUUACAGACGGGAGUCCUUAGUAAGUUAUUAUCACCACUGUACCCCAGAGCCCUGGGGCCAGGAAGAGGGAAAUGACUUCUCCAAAAGAACACAACCACACCUACAGAACAGAGUGCACCUUGAUCUACCCCAGUACCUGUGAAGACUCUGGACACUUCAAAUCUGGGACCUCUCUACAAUGGUCAAGUCACAUCUGGAAUUUCCCCGGCCCCAUGCCUAAGCAAGGAAAAGCAUUUGCACUGCCUCUCCUUUUCUCUUAUUAAAAAGUUCGCCUACAAUUAAAGAGAGAGAUUUCAGUCCCCA